Non-coding RNA from Pelobates cultripes (western spadefoot toad), 221 nucleotides. Lineage: Eukaryota; Metazoa; Chordata; Amphibia; Anura; Pelobatidae. The record is from the annotation of a GenBank genome assembly.
CAGCAGUCUGGGUUGAGGAAGGAAGGGGAGGCGUGUUGUUCCCUCUGUCUGCCACAUUCCCAGCGAUGGCUAGCAAGGUGAUGGAAAAGGCAGCUUCUCCACUCAUUGGAGCUUUCAGCAAGCGAGCCCCCUGUCUGGCUGUUCAGCUAUGGAGAAUCCCAUGCAAGGCAUAGAAAGUCCAACAAGGCACACAGCAAUAAUUGUGUUGUUCUGAAUAGAAG